Long non-coding RNA from Apis cerana (Asiatic honeybee), 534 nucleotides. RefSeq lists it as uncharacterized. NCBI's taxonomy places the organism in Eukaryota, Metazoa, Arthropoda, Insecta, Hymenoptera, Apidae. The record is from RefSeq and is a predicted model, not a curated record.
AUUAAUUCAUUAUACGUGUUAGUUACCAAUCAUCGUAAUACGUGUAUAAAGACGAUUGAUGAAUGGAUCAUUUUAAAGAGAAGAAGAAGACCAAGCUUCUGUUUGUUGGAACGUAAAUUUGCCGGGAUUGUAUUAAGGCAAACAAACUCGCUCUCAUUGUGAAACGAUUUUUGGAACGUCUGCCCGUUUUCUGUCGUGCUUUCCCGUAAUCCGUACAACUGAACUGGCUUUUAUCAUGAUAAUUGGGCAACGAAUCAGAUAACACAAUAAUACAAACGUUGAUUAAAAUCGACUCUCGAUUAUUAAAGUGGCUGAAAUGAAAAUCAAUAAUCGUCCAAACCAACAAUCCAAACAAAACGCAUCCAAUUAAAUCGUAAUACCGUCCUACCUUUUUAAGUAGAGAGUAGACGACUUUGAUCAGACGUCCAGUAAACAAGAUCAAUACCAAUCCGACCCGAUCAACCGAGUCAAAUCGAGAGAGGGGGAGAAAGAAGAAAGAAAAAAAAAAAGAAGAAAAAGCCGCAAAUCCACGUC